RNAcentral lists this ribosomal RNA (395 nucleotides) under uncultured bacterium. RNAcentral's name for it is "partial 16S ribosomal RNA". It matches the Rfam family "Bacterial small subunit ribosomal RNA", at positions 523 to 918 of the family's 1533-position model. The record is from RNAcentral.
AUACGUAGGGUGCAAGCGUUAAUCGGAAUUACUGGGCGUAAAGCGUGCGCAGGCGGUUUUGUAAGACAGUGGUGAAAUCCCCGGGCUCAACCUGGGAACUGCCAUUGUGACUGCAAGGCUGGAGUGCGGCAGAGGGGGGUGGAAUUCCGCGUGUAGCAGUGAAAUGCGUAGAUAUGCGGAGGAACACCGAUGGCGAAGGCAAUCCCCUGGGCCUGCACUGUCGCUCAUGCACGAAAGCGUGGGGAGCAAACAGGAUUAGAUACCCUGGUAGUCCACGCCCUAAACGAUGUCAACUGGUUGUUGGGGAUUUAUUUUCUCAGUAACGAAGCUAACGCGUGAAGUUGACCGCCUGGGGAGUACGGCCGCAAGGUUAAAACUCAAAUGAAUUGACGGGG